UUUGAAGUAUAGCCUGCCCCCUGAGUAUUUAAAUGGCCGCGGUAGCCUGACCGUGCAAAGGUAGCACAAUAACUAGUUUUUUAAUUNAUAGCUGGAAUGAAAGGCUGGACGAGGGAAAAUCUGUCUCUAUUUAAUUUAAUUAGAAUUUUAUUUUUAAGUAAGAAAGCUUAAAUAAUUUUGAAAGACGAGAAGACCCUAUAGAAUUUUAUAUUUAUUUUAAUGUUGGGGUGUGAGGAAUAGUUGGCUUUGGCAUUAUUAGACAUAUUUUGUUGGGGCGAUAGAAAAAUUUAAGAAACUUUUUUUAAAUUUAUCCANUAAUGUAUGAGUACGUGANCCNUUAUUUANGAUUAUAANAUUAAAUUACCUUAGGGAUAACANCGUANUCUUUUUUAAGAGUUCUUAUCGAAAAAAGGGACUGCNACCUCNAUGUUGNAUUAAAGUUAACUUUUGGUGUA
RNAcentral lists this ribosomal RNA (455 nucleotides) under Eulasia fastuosa. Its description in RNAcentral is "partial 16S large subunit ribosomal RNA". It matches the Rfam family "Bacterial large subunit ribosomal RNA", at positions 1846 to 2557 of the family's 2925-position model. The record is from RNAcentral. Lineage: Eukaryota; Metazoa; Arthropoda; Insecta; Coleoptera; Glaphyridae.